AUGUCAAUUGCAAAGCAUUAUCACAUCACAGCUGCAUCAAUUUCUCCAAAAGACGAGCUUAGAUCAAGGAUAAUUACAGCACUAGUGGAACAGGGAGUGCUUUUGAGUGAGUCUGAGGAUUCAGAUUUAAGUCAAUCUGUUCAGGUAUCUGACAAUAAGACAGAUGUACUGUUGUCAACACAGGAUGUUCAUGCUGUGCGUUUACAUGAAUUAGACUUACAGUUAAAAAUUAAACAAUUAGAGCUUGAGGCAAAAGCUAGAGAAGAAGACAGGAAGUUUGAAAUGGAGAGGUUACGUUUGGUACAUGUAGAGAGAAUGAGAGAAUUAGAACUGAGGUCAGCUGGUCUGCAGUCUACAGGUUCUCCUUCUCCACGGUUUGAUGUUGGACGUAACAUUAGUUUGGUGCCUCCUUUCUCGGAGAAAGAAGUAGAGAAAUACUUCUCACAUUUUGAGCGUGUAGCCACCACAUUUGGCUGGCCUGAAAAUGUCUGGACCCUGUUGCUGCAAUGUGUUUUAACAGGUAAAGCACAUGAAGUUUAUUCUUCAUUAACACUCACCCAAAGUGCGGAUUACCAAGUUGUUAAAGCAGCCAUAUUGCGGGCCUAUGAGCUGGUUCCAGAGGCUUACAGGCAGCAUUUUAGAGGAUGUCGAAAGACUGAGAAGCAGAUGUUUGUUGAAUUUGCCAGAGAAAAAGAAAUCUUGUUCAAUAGGUGGUGCACAUUUCAGAAAGUUGAAACUAAAGAGCAACUUUGUGACUUGAUACUCGUGGAGGAAUUUAAAAAUUGUGUUCCUGAAGCAGUUGCGACUUAUUUGAGUGAGCAGCGAGUGUCCACAGUUGGGGCUGCUGCUAUACUUGCUGACGAGUAUGUCUUGGCUCAUAGGGUCACUUUUAAUGAUAAAUCUCGUGAGACUAGGAACCGUGUUUUUCCUCAUUUUAAAGCUGACAGUGGUGGUCCUGGGUCUUCAGGUUCUGCUGUAAAGGCUACUAAUUCUAGCACAGAAAGCUUUCAGAGGGUCUGUUUCUAUUGUAAAAAGCUUGGUCAUCUCAUAGCUGACUGUCACGCUCUCAGUAAAAAGCAGAAAGCUCCUAAGCCAGUGGCCUUAUUAGCUUCAGUACCACACCUGUCCAGUGGGGAGAAUGCAAUCAAUCAGUUCACUAAAGAUAGGUCUGGUGUAGUAAAAUGUCCCAUUGAGUCCACUGAGGACGGGUUUGAGCCUGAUAUCGUUGCGCCUUUUCGUAUGGAGGGUUUAGUAGCCAUCGCUGAUUCAGAAAAGUUUGUCCCGGUUCGUAUUUUGAGACACAGCAGCUGCUCAGUCUUUAUUGGUGGAGGGAGUUCUGCCCCUCUCUGA
This 1350-nucleotide long non-coding RNA is filed under the name Sphaeramia orbicularis (orbiculate cardinalfish). Its description in RNAcentral is "lncRNA (ENSSORG00005013180.1)". Lineage: Eukaryota; Metazoa; Chordata; Actinopteri; Kurtiformes; Apogonidae. The record is from RNAcentral.